Molecule: RNA transcript, 1149 nt
Organism: Helianthus annuus (common sunflower)
Lineage: Eukaryota; Viridiplantae; Streptophyta; Magnoliopsida; Asterales; Asteraceae
Exons: 7
Source: RefSeq, a predicted model, not a curated record
CACACAAAAAAAACUAGGGUUUCUCUCAUUUGGUCCGCCGCUCAUCCUCUCAUCCUCUGCUCUCUCUCUAUCUCUCUAUGGCGAUUCCUAGCGACUUCAUCAGGCCUCUCUCUCGGAUCUCACCAGAUCUCUCACCAGAUCUGUGAGGAUUUCACCAGAUCGAUGAAGUUUUUUCAGGUUUGAAUAGAUAGGGUUUUGAUCGAUUGGUAGAUCCUUUGUGAUAAUCUAUUUACCAAGCCCAAUAUUGGUCCGCAAAUUAAUGCAUCAACAGUUGGGAAAGCUCUGGUUGUGGAUAUCUAUUGCAGCACUCCUUGGGUUUUUGAUUAUCUUCAACAUAUUCUUUAUCGUAGCACUAACUUCCCUGAAUCCUCCGGUGUGAUGCUAAACCUGUGAUCAGAGAGGAAAAUGAUAUAAAGAAUUCAAAAAAUAACAGCUUACAGUAGGCUCAGCUUGUAAUGGGUUGGGUCAGAUUGUUUUUUGUAAGAAAUUAGCAGUUUUAUAUAUGAGUUAUACUCAUUCAGUAACAAUAUACUUUAAGGGAUGGCCAAUCACAUAAGCUUUGGUGGACCUCCCGUGAAAACUGAGACAGCUGAAGGAGCAGGAGAAACAGGUAUUCAAUAACAGUUACUCACAAAAAGAUCACUUUGAGGUCUUCCCAGAAAGGGUUUUGGGUUCAAUGUAAUGUCUUUAAAGGUGCAAGUGGAGAAUUAAAGUUGGUUUGACUUGUGGAGACAGAUUAGGCCGGGAAAUUGCAUGGAUUAAAUGAUUUAAACUAUGUCACUUGUCUUUCGUGCCUCUUCUGUAAAUGUGAAUCAAGAACUACAAACAAGUUUGCAUCAUUUGUAUUUGUUUUCUAUGGAUUUGUUCUCUUUCAGAUUGGAAUUAACUAUGGAGGUAUUUUCUAUGAAUUUGUUCAUUGGAAUGGAGUUGUUGAACAGGAAGUUGCUUAGUGGGUUUACUGGCACGAGACCACUGAAAAUGAAACACAUGAGGUCAUUAGUGGCCAUUUGGGGUGGGUGAGAUCUGUUGCGUUUAGUCCAAAUAACGAGUGGUUCUGUACCGGUUCUGCAGAUCGAACGAUUAAGAUUUGGGAUACUGGAUCAGGACGGUUAAGGUUGACACUAACAGGGCAUAUAGAACAAGUUAGAG